RNAcentral lists this long non-coding RNA (251 nucleotides) under Vitis vinifera (wine grape). Its description in RNAcentral is "long non-coding RNA (VVIN_LNC006861)". The record is from RNAcentral. Lineage: Eukaryota; Viridiplantae; Streptophyta; Magnoliopsida; Vitales; Vitaceae.
GACAUAGUUCCUAAAAAGAGACACUUGAGAGGGAACUAAGGUUUUCUCUGUAUACACAAAAGGGUUUUUAGAGAGAGAAAACAGAGUGCAGUUUCACUGAGCCAUUUUUGUUUGCUUUGAAGGAAAUUUUUUAUGUGUUUUGGUGAAGAUUUUAGGGCCUAAAGCUUCAGAUUAUUUGUUUGGCAAUGCAGAAAAUAUAUUCUGGGUGAGUUUUUUCUCAUCUUCAUUUUUGAGAAAUUUUUUUCUCGUAU